UAGGGAAUCUUCCGCAAUGGACGAAAGUCUGACGCAGCAACGCCGCGUGAGUGAAGAAGGCUUUCUGUUCGUAAAACUCUGUUGUUAGGGAAGAAAAAAUGUAUAGUAACUAUAUACAAAAGAGACGGUACCUAACAAGAAAGCCACGGCUAACUACGUGCCAGCAGCCGCGGUAAUACGUAGGUGGCAAGCGUUGUCCGGAAUUAUUGGGGGUAAAGCGCGCGCAGGUGGUUUAGAAAGUCUGAUGUGAAAGCCCACGGCUCAACCGUGGAGGGACAUUGGAAACUAAUAAACUUGAGUGCAGGAGAGGAAGGUGGAAUUCCUCAUGUAGCGGUGAAAUGCGGAGAGAUUAGGAGGAACACCGGUGGCGAAAGCAGCUUUCUGGCCUGCAAUUGACACUGAGGCGCGAAAGCGUGGGGAGCAAACAGG
This 429-nucleotide ribosomal RNA is filed under the name Verrucomicrobiota bacterium. Its description in RNAcentral is "Verrucomicrobia bacterium partial 16S ribosomal RNA". It matches the Rfam family "Bacterial small subunit ribosomal RNA", at positions 355 to 776 of the family's 1533-position model. The record is from RNAcentral. Lineage: Bacteria; Pseudomonadati; Verrucomicrobiota.